RNAcentral lists this long non-coding RNA (467 nucleotides) under Taeniopygia guttata (zebra finch). RNAcentral describes it as "lncRNA (ENSTGUG00000023763.1)". Lineage: Eukaryota; Metazoa; Chordata; Aves; Passeriformes; Estrildidae. The record is from RNAcentral.
UUGGAGGUUUUAGAAAUGUUUGCUGUCCUAAAUGAGCACCUUGUGUCAGAAAUUUCCAUAGACGCAUCAUUCUGAGAUCAAAAAAUCCAGUUUACUUCUCCAUAGUUUGCAAGAAACCAUGUCACGCUUUGGAAUUUGAUGUUAAGAGGAGUUUUUCUACAAGACUUGAGCCUUUGGCUACUGCUUCUCUGAGGUUCCGACAUCCACAGUAUAAAAUGAUGUGCACUGAAGUGGCUGCUGCAUUUGGGAGACAGUGAAAGCUCUUUUCUUCAUAAAUUAUGACUAAGCUGACAGUGAAGGGACAGAGCAGGUUUGGAGAGGAAGGGCAGCACCAGCUCUGAGGAGAUGUCAGAAUUGUGACUGGAGCCAUCAAGAGCGUGGCAUUUGUGGAGUCAUCCCUGUCCACAGGUUUGCUAAAUGGGAACCAUUUAUCAGGCAAGUAGGCUGAAGUCUAUUUUAUAAUCCUG